Molecule: long non-coding RNA, 1612 nt
Organism: Toxorhynchites rutilus septentrionalis
Lineage: Eukaryota; Metazoa; Arthropoda; Insecta; Diptera; Culicidae
Exons: 3
Source: RefSeq, a predicted model, not a curated record
GACUGGCCGACUCGAAGGGAUUCUGCCAGGUACAAUCAUAGAUAUGCCAUGUUCGAGCGAAGGUAGCCCAUUGCUGCAAACGAAGGAACCCAUGUUUAUGUAAUCAGCAUCGUAUCAAACUAUCAGCAUCGUAUCAUUGCGCUCUUGAUGAAUGACGGUUUGAGUUGUUACCUGCACACGCUUCUUUAUCGACAUUGUUUGGUUUACGGGAACGUUUGAUUAAAAUAUAUAUAUGCUAUUAUCAACUAAAAUUAUUUACGAGCCACAAUCACGUCUGGCAUGUGAAAAGCAAAACAACAGUCCAACCAGUAGCAUUUGUCAAAUGCAACAAGAUAAAUUUUUACUUGGCCUUUCGUAUUGUACCCACCGGUGUGUAUACACGGUAUACACAAAUCAGAUGCCGGAUUUUUUUCAAAUGUCUGAAAAUGCCUAAUUAAAAAACAGUCUGUGAAUUAUGUUCUCAGGAAACAGGACAACUCUAUGGUUCGAUGUAUGAUACCCGGAUGCGUGAGCCAGGGUUCGAUUCGAAUUAUGAAAACGUAUCUCAAAAAUUAUCACAUCAUCGAUUCCCGGGUAAUGUGACCAUUCGGAAGAAAUGGAUUCGAUUGUUCGGACAGGACCUAAGCAGCAAUAAAAACUAAAAACCUGUACAUUUGCUCGCUUCACCUCAGUUGAGAUUGUGUCAUGCAUAUCGAUGGUUUGAAGUACAAUAUCGUCGAAAACUGAUACCAACAGCUGUCCCUACUGUCAGCAAGGCCAACAAUUCUCAUGCCUCGGGAAAUCAGAACCGGACGGCUCGUCGGAAGGUCUUGGUUGACAUCAAGCUAGAGUUGAAUACAGUCAAAACAUCCGUCACAUCCGCGGAAUCGGUCCAGUUUUCUAAUGGGAUGAAACAAGACUAUCCCGAGAAGGAUAUUCCGUCAAAGAAAAUCGGGAACAGCCAUAACAUAACAUUGAUCUACGGAGAGAGAUGAAUACAACAAAAUAAAGACGACUCAAAUCGGACCAUUCAGGUUUUGCGCUUACCAACACAUUUGGCCUUCCAUUUUUAUUUAUAUAGAUAGAAGAUAUAGGAGUGCGUUAUUUCGCCCGGAAAUUACCACUUCCGAACAGAGUUUAAUUUCGUUAUUGCAAAAAUUGAAUGGACUAACAGCGCAAACAUGACAUAAUUGUAGGAAAUAUGAGAAUUCAAUUUUCCGAGUUUUCCGAAAAUUUUGGCCUUUCAUUUUUAUUGAAAUAGAUGUUUAUAACUAGAAGCAUGUUCAUUUCGAUUUUUUUAUACAUUCUUAAUACAAAGUCUUUCAAUUGACAACGUUUGACGUAUAGUGUUACUGUAUCGGACUCAUCUAAAUGAAGAUAUGAUUUCUAUAUUAAAAAUUUAUUAAUUUUGAAUACUUUGCGAAUUCGUUACCAUCUAAGAAAACCAAUAUAGAAAAUACAGUAAUUUACAUUUAAUGCAACAUGCCGAGGUACCACUCAGUUCACUCUGGCUUUGCACUAACUCUGGGAAAUGAAUUUUUAUUUCCGAAACCGAACAAGUACCAAUGGGACCACAAAACUUGGUGAGAGAGAAAGGGAACAUCGAACUACACGACUGCAGUAUACCCACUAU